Molecule: ribosomal RNA, 415 nt
Filed under: uncultured Sebacinales
Lineage: Eukaryota; Fungi; Basidiomycota; Agaricomycetes; Sebacinales
Description: eukaryotic LSU rRNA
Rfam family: Eukaryotic large subunit ribosomal RNA
Source: RNAcentral
CCCCUAGCUAACGGCGAGUGAAGAGGGAAAAGCUCAAAUUUUGAAUCUGGUACCUUUGGUGCCCGAGUUGUAAUCUAGAGAAGUGUUUUCUGCCUUGGACCACACAUAAAUUUCCUGGAAUGGGAUGUCAUAGAGGGUGAGAAUCCCGUUUGUGGUGUGGACUACCUGGGCUCUGUGAUACACUCUCAACGAGUCGAGUUGUUUGGGAAUGCAGCUCAAAAUGGGUGGUAAAUUCCAUCUAAAGCUAAAUAUUGGCGAGAGACCGAUAGCGAACAAGUACCGUGAGGGAAAGAUGAAAAGCACUUUGGAAAGAGAGUGAAACAGUACGUGAAAUUGUUGAAAGGGAAGCGUUUGAAGUCAGUCACAUUGGUCAGAAUUCAUACUGGCUUCUGCCUGGUGUACUUUCUGGCAAAUG